RNAcentral lists this long non-coding RNA (228 nucleotides) under Elaeis guineensis (African oil palm). RNAcentral describes it as "long non-coding RNA (EGUI_LNC003163)". The record is from RNAcentral. Lineage: Eukaryota; Viridiplantae; Streptophyta; Magnoliopsida; Arecales; Arecaceae.
GGUGCAAAGUUCUUUAAGAAAUUUAGCAUAAAUUGAGACAUGUUGAAUUGCAUCGAGGAGGGGUAUAUUAAUGUGAACUAACUCAAACAAUUCUAUCAAUUCUUUGUUGCGUGCUCCUUAUUUUUUACAAGAAGAACCGGCUUCUAGGACUGAAGGAAAUGAAACUUUUGGUUUAUAUGUCUCGGAUAACUCAUCCGCUCUCUUCUUUUCUUUAUCUUUUUCACUCGG